GACGAACGCUGGCGGCGUGCUUAACACAUGCAAGUCGAACGGAGCUAUUGGAGAGCUUGCUCGAAGAUAGCUUAGUGGCGAACGGGUGAGUAACGCGUGAGUAACCUGUCUCAUACAGGGGGAUAACACUUGGAAACAGGUGCUAAUACCGCAUAAGACCACAGAGUCGCAUGAUUCAGAGGUCAAAGAUUUAUCGGUAUGAGGUGGGCUCGCGUCUGAUUAGAUAGUUGGUGAGGUAACGGCUCACCAAGUCGACGAUCAGUAGCCGACCUGAGAGGGUGAUCGGCCACAUUGGAACUGAGAUACGGUCCAAACUCCUACGGGAGGCAGCAGUGGGGAAUAUUGGGCAAUGGGCGAAAGCCUGACCCAGCGACGCCGCGUGAGGGAAGAAGGUCUUCGGAUUGUAAACCUCUGUCAACAGGGAAGAAGAAAGUGACGGUACCUGUGGAGGAAGCCACGGCUAACUACGUG
This 471-nucleotide ribosomal RNA is filed under the name uncultured bacterium. RNAcentral's name for it is "bacterial SSU rRNA". It matches the Rfam family "Bacterial small subunit ribosomal RNA", at positions 28 to 507 of the family's 1533-position model. The record is from RNAcentral.